ACGUUAUAUGAUUUAAAAAUUCUAAAAUUCACGACGACGACGACGACGACGACGACGACCACGUGAAUUUAGAAAGUAAAAAGGAUUCGUCGGCAAUUGCAAUUAGCGAGACUUCUUAAAUUUCCUGGACAAUUAGCGAGUUCGUCGACGACGCGCAGACAACUCUCAGACGGAAUAAAUAGAGAGAGUGUUGUUCCGAGUUUAUUAACUCGUACCUCGGCCACUUGGUCGGAGGUGUGUAAAAGUCGUAUGCGCGAAGACGUAUGCGCUCUAAAUGCGCGUUCAGAGAGUACACAAAAAUACAUCGAUGCGUUACACUUUCGUAUAUUAUUUAUCGCUCGCCACUUUUGUUCGCAUUAAAUAGCCUAUAUAAUUGAGCGCAUCGUAUUAUUUUAUCGCUUAUUGUAAAUGCAAUAGUUCGUUAAAAGAUUUCGAUUAAUUUUCAGCAUGAAUUAGAAAGGCGCAGUUAACGAGGAUAUACGAGUUCUAGAAAGACAGAGGUUGUUAGCGAUAGCGUGGAAACGUUAAUUGGCGUGUAAGGAGAACGAGAUGUAUAUGCAAAUUUGAGUUUUACUCGUUAAAAAUUGAUUCUUCGUUAAUGCGUUAAAGAAGAUACUAAAUAAUUUUUAAUUGAAUUUAAUCCAUACGUUGUUUCCUCGAUUCGUCUUUAAUUCGUCCGACGUUUUAUAUAUCAUCUAUAUAAUAUAUUUUCGAGAGUAGAAAGCCGCAUAGAUUUAAUCCUGUAAAUAUCUACGGAUCGGUGCGAAAUAUAUCCGUUUCAAGAUGUCUUUGCCACGUCAUUUUACAUCAUUUUCAACGUGAGAACCGGAUUAUUACUCGUUCCUCAAUGUUUUUUGUCUUCCUUAAAUUAUAUUCCGCUUCGAGGUUAGGUAUGAAAUAUUCAUAAAUUCCAUCUAUUAAAGUAAACUCGGAAAAACCGAAUAAACGAAUUAUUAGUUCGGAACACGGGAAUACGAUUAACCGGCAUUUCAUUAAGAAAGCCAAACACCAAAAAAACCGAAUAUCAUUGAAACGAAUACCACUUCGAGAUGAUUACUCCUUCGUCUCGCAAUGGAGAGAUUCGCGAAUGGGGUUGAUUCGAGAUUUAGUCGAGGCGACAAUCAGCGCGCGAGGACACGAUAUCGGAACGCGUACAGACGAGCAGCAAGGGAGGGGGGGAAGGAGGCGACGCUCUAUUUACCGUCGAGAGGAAUUCUAGGUACGAGUUCGAGGAGCGUUGGCGUUGCACAACCUCGAAAAAAAACGCGUUUCGACGAGUGAGCCUUGUUGUACGCGCGCACGGGUCACUGGUUACGCGUUAAAAAAAGAAGCGGUGAAAUAAAAAAGGCGUUUGGAUAAACCGACGACCAAACUAACUGGGGCAAACGUGGCACCGCUCUGACCUCGUCCUCCCAUCGCUCCGGGCUCGUUCAAUAUACGAAACGUCACGGGCGUCGAUCGCUCGUUUUAAGAACACCAAAAUUCUCUCGCGUCCCAUCGAAUAGGAAUUCGUUCCGCCACCAGUUCGCGCUACGAUAGUUACUUGAGUAGUUGGUGUGACGACGUUUCAUCGACACGGAAAUGUAUUAUUGAAUAAUACGCGUUAUCAGCGAUAUCAGUGAUAGAGAUAAAAAUUUUAUCUACGAGAAAGGAUCGCGAAAAUGUAAUUGAAAACGAUAAUUCAAUGGAAAACCGCGAGAAAAAAUACGUUCGAUAAGCUAUUCUAGAAGUAACAUUUUUACACGGCUACGUGGGAGGUGUAUACCAAGAAUAGAGAUUACAACGGUAUUUCGAUGUUCCAAGCGACGCCACUAAACCGAUAAUUUCUAACAUUCUCGUGAUCCAUGAUCUCACAUAUUUUCUGGUCUAUUUACGACUAGACCGGGUAUAAUUUUAUUCGUACACAACUUGGUAAACGGUUGACUAUCCGAUUUUUCGAAAUCGGAUAUUAUAUUAUUUUAAAUAGAUAGAAAUGUUAUACCGCAAUAUUUUCUCUUUUAAUCGUACACAACGAUUUUUCAUAACGAAACUUUCUACGUUAUUGCACGAUAAAUAAUUACGUUCCACAAUUUACCAUAUUUUUCUUAAUUUCUAAACUUUUAUUCGAACGUAUAAAAGAUGUAUUUUAAUAUAUAGCGAAAAUGUAAUAAUAUGUAAUAUAAUAUAAAAAAGUUCCAAUACAUUUUAGAGGAAAUUCUCGUUGAUAAUAAGUUAUCGCGAAGAUAGUCGGUUUAAUAUUUGUGCAUCAUUAUACAACGGUACAACACUGAAUUCCAGCUGCUAAUAGAUCCAUAACAGUAAAGAACCUUAUUUUCGGAUUACGAAAAGGAAAGAGACGUGAACGAGAUUAUCAUCGAGAAGAAAGAAAUUAAGUACUUCUUUUCGAAAUGGUUUGCUAGAUUUCUCGCCAAAGCUAUAUAUUACAAACGAUCCUAGUAAAGACAUUAUAAUUUGAAAAUUUGUAUUGUAACCGAGAAAAGAAUGAGGAAAUACCAUUGAAGGAACAAUAAAAAUACUAACCUUA
Long non-coding RNA from Apis mellifera (honey bee), 2524 nucleotides. RefSeq lists it as uncharacterized. Lineage: Eukaryota; Metazoa; Arthropoda; Insecta; Hymenoptera; Apidae. The record is from RefSeq and is a predicted model, not a curated record. The transcript has 2 exons.